Long non-coding RNA from Arvicola amphibius (Eurasian water vole), 251 nucleotides. RefSeq lists it as uncharacterized. NCBI's taxonomy places the organism in Eukaryota, Metazoa, Chordata, Mammalia, Rodentia, Cricetidae. The record is from RefSeq and is a predicted model, not a curated record. The transcript has 3 exons.
GUUCUGACCUCAGUGGGCAGCAGGCACAUGGUAGACACACAUAUACACAUGCAGUGAACACACACAUUGAACCAGAUCUGCAGCUCCAUCUGGUCUCUGGAGUCCGUUUCCUGGGAAACUCAUCACGACUCUGUCUCCCUCCUCCCCUCCCCCACCCAGCCGCUUGUGAGAGGGAGCAAAAACCCACAGACUCCCAUCACUCUGAAACUAUAACCACUGAAACACGGGGAGCAGGAGAGCUCUGUAUGGCU